CGUAGGAAUCUACCUAGUAGUGGGGGACAACUCGGAGAAACUCGAGCUAAUACCGCAUACGCCCUACGGGGGAAAGCGGGGGACCUUCGGGCCUCGUGCUAUUAGAUGAGCCUGCGUUGGAUUAGCUAGUUGGUGGGGUAAUGGCCCACCAAGGCGACGAUCCAUAGCUGGUCUGAGAGGAUGAUCAGCCACACCGGGACUGAGACACGGCCCGGACUCCUACGGGAGGCAGCAGUGGGGAAUAUUGCGCAAUGGGCGAAAGCCUGACGCAGCCAUGCCGCGUGUGUGAAGAAGGCCUUCGGGUUGUAAAGCACUUUCAAUUGGGAGGAAAGGUUCACGGCUAAUACCCGUGAGCUGUGACGUUACCUUUAGAAGAAGCACCGGCUAACUCCGUGCCAGCAGCCGCGGUAAUACGGAGGGUGCGAGCGUUAAUCGGAAUUACUGGGCGUAAAGCGCGCGUAGGUGGUCUGUUAAGUCGGAUGUGAAAGCCCCGGGCUCAACCUGGGAACUGCACCCGAUACUGGCAGACUAGAGUGCGGGAGAGGGA
This 547-nucleotide ribosomal RNA is filed under the name proteobacterium MS-M-63. Its description in RNAcentral is "bacterial SSU rRNA". It matches the Rfam family "Bacterial small subunit ribosomal RNA", at positions 116 to 659 of the family's 1533-position model. Lineage: Bacteria; Pseudomonadati; Pseudomonadota. The record is from RNAcentral.